UGCAGCUCAGUGGUAGAGCACCCACCUAGCAUGUGAGAAGCCCUGGGUUUGAUUCCCAGAAUUGCAG
RNAcentral lists this transfer RNA (67 nucleotides) under Fukomys damarensis (Damara mole-rat). It matches the Rfam family "tRNA". From Rfam's summary of the family: Transfer RNA (tRNA) molecules are approximately 80 nucleotides in length. Their secondary structure includes four short double-helical elements and three loops (D, anti-codon, and T loops). The record is from Rfam by way of RNAcentral. Lineage: Eukaryota; Metazoa; Chordata; Mammalia; Rodentia; Bathyergidae.